RNAcentral lists this ribosomal RNA (434 nucleotides) under uncultured bacterium. Its description in RNAcentral is "partial 16S ribosomal RNA". It matches the Rfam family "Bacterial small subunit ribosomal RNA", at positions 29 to 507 of the family's 1533-position model. The record is from RNAcentral.
AGCGAACGCUGGCGGCAGGCCUAACACAUGCAAGUCGAACGAACCUUUCGGGGUUAGUGGCGGACGGGUGAAUAACACGUGGGAACGUGCCUUUAGGUUCGGAAUAACUCAGGGAAACUUGUGCUAAUACCGAAUGUGCCCUUCGGGGGAAAGAUUAAUCGCCUUUAGAGCGGCCCGCGUCUGAUUAGCUAGUUGGUUGAGGUAAUGGCUCACCAAGGCGACGAUCAGUAGCUGGUCUGAGAGGAUGAUCAGCCACAUUGGGACUGAGACACGGCCCAAACUCCUACGGGAGGCAGCAGUGGGGAAUCUUGCGCAAUGGGCGAAAGCCUGACGCAGCCAUGCCGCGUGAAUGAUGAAGGUCUUAGGAUUGUAAAAUUCUUUCAACGGGGACGAUAAUGACGGUACCCGGAGAAGAAGCCCCGGCUAACUUCGUG